Molecule: ribosomal RNA, 253 nt
Filed under: uncultured bacterium
Lineage: Bacteria
Description: partial 16S ribosomal RNA
Rfam family: Bacterial small subunit ribosomal RNA
Source: RNAcentral
UACGUAGGGUGCGAGCGUUAAUCGGAAUUACUGGGCGUAAAGCGUGCGCAGGCGGUGAUGUAAGACAGAUGUGAAAUCCCCGGGCUCAACCUGGGAACUGCGUUUGUGACUGCAUCGCUGGAGUACGGCAGAGGGGGAUGGGAUUCCGCGUGUAGCAGUGAAAUGCGUGGAUAUGCGGAGGAACACCGAUGGCGAAGGCAAUCCCCUGGGCCUGUACUGACGCUCAUGCACGAAAGCGUGGGGAGCAAACAGG